Odocoileus virginianus texanus is the source of this 601-nucleotide non-coding RNA. The record is from RefSeq and is a predicted model, not a curated record. Lineage: Eukaryota; Metazoa; Chordata; Mammalia; Artiodactyla; Cervidae.
CAAAAAGUCCAUAGCUGCUCCCAGGGUGUGGUGAAUGGAGUAAUGGCAGAAAUGGCUCAGAGUUGAUGGGAAGCUUUUGCCCUAGGGGCUCAAUGGACUGAAAAGUAUCUGCCAUCCAAAUGGAGAUGCACAGAGGAGGGAGUAAGGAGCUGUCAGCUAGAAGUGAAGGAUGGAGAGGGGCUGAGAGCAGGGCCUAAGAGCCUGGCUAGGAGAGGCAGUUGCAAAGCAGCUGUCUCAUCUUCGCCCUUCUAAUCACCCUCAUCAAAGGAUGAGAUCAGCCUGUGCAAUCUUCAGAGGACAGCCACUGCUUGUAUCCACAGAAUUCCCUGAAAAGUCAGCUGACUGUGGAUUGCUGGAAAUCCCUGCACAUUUUAUCACGCCUGGGUCAGCAAUAUAUUCUUGGCUUCAGGAACAUUGAUGUUGAAAAUUGAACAUCUGGUCUUCCCUUCCCACCAUUUCUCUCCCAAGUAAUCAGCAUUUCCUUCUUUGUCUCCCUGGCUUGAAUAGCAUUUAAAACUUGAAUUUGGUGUAUGUUAUAUUUGUUUGUUUCUGGAGCCAAUUUGAUUCUGUUUCCAGUUCUGAAAAUUUCCUAGCAAUGCCA